AGGUGGUUGUUGACGAGGAGGGUUUGACGAGUAAGGGUAAGGUGGCUCCUCCGGGUUGUAGCCUGAAGACGGUUGUUGAAGCUGAGGAGGUGGCUGUUGAGGGUACUGUGGCUGUUGAGGAGGUGGCUGGUAAGGUGGUUGAUGGAGUGACUGGGUUUGAGGAGGUGGAGGAGGUUGGUAAGGAGGAUUGUUCACUGGUGGCGGCUGGGACUGACCACCACCAGGAGGGGAGAAAUAAGACUCCUGUUGGGGAGGGAACUGGCUUGGAAGCUGAGGCAGUUGUGAUGA
RNAcentral lists this long non-coding RNA (288 nucleotides) under Brassica napus (rape). Its description in RNAcentral is "long non-coding RNA (BNAP_LNC010578)". The record is from RNAcentral. Lineage: Eukaryota; Viridiplantae; Streptophyta; Magnoliopsida; Brassicales; Brassicaceae.